GGAUGUGAGGGUGAUCUGGCUGCAACAUGUCACCCCAUUGAUUGUCAGGGUUGAUUCGGCUAUCUGGGUGGCUAGGCAGGUGUCCCCUUCCUCCCUCACUGCUCCAUGUAUGUCCCUCUGGAAGCUGUGUGCUCGGUGGAAGAGGACCGCCUUCCCUGAAUAGAGACCAACGGAGACCGACCAGUUUUCCGUUGAGGGUAUAGGAGUAGUUGUGCUCCCCUGCUAGAACCUCCAAACAAGCUCUCAAACAUCAAGUUCUUUGUCUACAAUUAUCCAUGCUUUUCUACCUCACUUAAUCAAGUAUAAUAAUAAUAAUUAUUUGCAUU
This 326-nucleotide small nuclear RNA is filed under the name Erinaceus europaeus (western European hedgehog). RNAcentral describes it as "7SK RNA". It matches the Rfam family "7SK RNA". Rfam says of the family: 7SK was discovered as an abundant small nuclear RNA in the mid-70s but a possible function has only recently been suggested. The record is from Rfam by way of RNAcentral. Lineage: Eukaryota; Metazoa; Chordata; Mammalia; Eulipotyphla; Erinaceidae.